Molecule: ribosomal RNA, 742 nt
Filed under: uncultured Staphylococcus sp.
Lineage: Bacteria; Bacillati; Bacillota; Bacilli; Caryophanales; Staphylococcaceae
Description: bacterial SSU rRNA
Rfam family: Bacterial small subunit ribosomal RNA
Source: RNAcentral
GUGCCUAAUACAUGCAAGUCGAGCGAACAGACGAGGAGCUUGCUCCUCUGACGUUAGCGGCGGACGGGUGAGUAACACGUGGAUAACCUACCUAUAAGACUGGGAUAACUUCGGGAAACCGGAGCUAAUACCGGAUAAUAUAUUGAACCGCAUGGUUCAAUAGUGAAAGACGGUUUUGCUGUCACUUAUAGAUGGAUCCGCGCCGCAUUAGCUAGUUGGUAAGGUAACGGCUUACCAAGGCAACGAUGCGUAGCCGACCUGAGAGGGUGAUCGGCCACACUGGAACUGAGACACGGUCCAGACUCCUACGGGAGGCAGCAGUAGGGAAUCUUCCGCAAUGGGCGAAAGCCUGACGGAGCAACGCCGCGUGAGUGAUGAAGGUCUUCGGAUCGUAAAACUCUGUUAUUAGGGAAGAACAAAUGUGUAAGUAACUAUGCACGUCUUGACGGUACCUAAUCAGAAAGCCACGGCUAACUACGUGCCAGCAGCCGCGGUAAUACGUAGGUGGCAAGCGUUAUCCGGAAUUAUUGGGCGUAAAGCGCGCGUAGGCGGUUUUUUAAGUCUGAUGUGAAAGCCCACGGCUCAACCGUGGAGGGUCAUUGGAAACUGGAAAACUUGAGUGCAGAAGAGGAAAGUGGAAUUCCAUGUGUAGCGGUGAAAUGCGCAGAGAUAUGGAGGAACACCAGUGGCGAAGGCGACUUUCUGGUCUGUAACUGACGCUGAUGUGCGAAAGCGUGGGGAU